This 918-nucleotide ribosomal RNA is filed under the name Rhytidhysteron rufulum. Its description in RNAcentral is "partial large subunit ribosomal RNA". It matches the Rfam family "Eukaryotic large subunit ribosomal RNA", at positions 56 to 1003 of the family's 3401-position model. The record is from RNAcentral. Lineage: Eukaryota; Fungi; Ascomycota; Dothideomycetes; Hysteriales; Hysteriaceae.
AAGAACCAACAGGGAUUGCCUUAGUAACGGCGAGUGAAGCGGCAGCAGCUCAAAUUUGAAAUCUGGCUCCUUUGGGGCCCGAGUUGUAAUUUGUAGAGGAUGUUUCGGCGUGGUCCCAGGUCUAAGUUCCUUGGAACAGGACGUCACAGAGGGUGAGAAUCCCGUACGUGGCCGUGGGUACCCGCCAUGUGAAGCUCCUUCGACGAGUCGAGUUGUUUGGGAAUGCAGCUCUAAAUGGGAGGUAAAUUUCUUCUAAAGCUAAAUACUGGCCAGAGACCGAUAGCGCACAAGUAGAGUGAUCGAAAGAUGAAAAGCACUUUGGAAAGAGAGUCAAAAAGUACGUGAAAUUGUUGAAAGGGAAGCGCUUGCAACCAGACCUGCCUGCGGUUGCUCAUCCGGGCUCUUGCCCGGUGCACUCUUCUGCAGUCAGGCCAGCAUCAGUUCUGGCGGUCGGAUAAAGGCGGCGGGAAUGUGGCUCCCCUCGGGGAGUGUUAUAGCCCGUCGUGUAAUGCGGCCAGCCGGGACUGAGGUCCGCGCUUCGGCUAGGAUGCUGGCGUAAUGGUUGUAAGCGGCCCGUCUUGAAACACGGACCAAGGAGUCUAACAUCUGUGCGAGUGUUUGGGUGUCAAGCCCAGGCGCGUAAUGAAAGUGAACGGAGGCGGGAACCUUCGGGUGCACCGUCGACCGAUCCUGAUGUCUUCGGAUGGAUUUGAGUAAGAGCAUAGCUGUUGGGACCCGAAAGAUGGUGAACUAUGCCUGAAUAGGGUGAAGCCAGAGGAAACUCUGGUGGAGGCUCGCAGCGGUUCUGACGUGCAAAUCGAUCGUCAAAUUUGGGCAUAGGGGCGAAAGACUAAUCGAACUAUCUAGUAGCUGGUUCCUGCCGAGUCCUCCUCUCACCGAAAAUAAACAAUAACGCCG